RNAcentral lists this long non-coding RNA (238 nucleotides) under Gossypium raimondii (Peruvian cotton). Its description in RNAcentral is "long non-coding RNA (GRAI_LNC005822)". The record is from RNAcentral. Lineage: Eukaryota; Viridiplantae; Streptophyta; Magnoliopsida; Malvales; Malvaceae.
UUUUCUAUAAACAACUGCUGAGUGGUGGCAUUAAGGUCGCCUUCCCAACGCCCUACAUAUUCGCCUUUAGUAUUUUGUAGUCCAAGCACCAUUGGUGUACUUAACUGUCCCUUUGUGAAAAUUUUCUUCUUUGGACACAAAUCUCAUAAUUAACCUUCAAGCAAGCAAGUGUUCCUGCAUGCUCGUUUUCAUCUCUUACUCCUUCACAUGACAAUAAUUCAUUGAAGGUAGUCCUUUU